RNAcentral lists this ribosomal RNA (253 nucleotides) under uncultured bacterium. RNAcentral's name for it is "partial 16S ribosomal RNA". It matches the Rfam family "Bacterial small subunit ribosomal RNA", at positions 524 to 776 of the family's 1533-position model. The record is from RNAcentral.
UACGUAGGGUGCAAGCGUUAAUCGGAAUUAUUGGGCGUAAAGCGUGCGCAGGCGGCUUUGCAAGACAGAUGUGAAAUCCCCGGGCUUAACCUGGGAACUGCAUUUGUGACUGCAUGGCUGGAGUGCGGCAGAGGGGGAUGGAAUUCCGCGUGUAGCAGUGAAAUGCGUAGAUAUGCGGAGGAACACCGAUGGCGAAGGCAAUCCCCUGGGCCUGCACUGACGCUCAUGCACGAAAGCGUGGGGAGCAAACAGG